CCUACGGGAGGCAGCAGUGGGGAAUAUUGGACAAUGGGCGAAAGCCUGAUCCAGCCAUGCCGCGUGUGUGAAGAAGGUUUUCGGAUUGUAAAGCACUUUAAGUUGGGAGGAAGGGCAGUAAGUUAAUACCUUGCUGUUUUGACGUUACCGACAGAAUAAGCACCGGCUAACUCUGUGCCAGCAGCCGCGGUAAU
RNAcentral lists this ribosomal RNA (194 nucleotides) under uncultured bacterium. RNAcentral describes it as "partial 16S ribosomal RNA". It matches the Rfam family "Bacterial small subunit ribosomal RNA", at positions 338 to 524 of the family's 1533-position model. The record is from RNAcentral.